Long non-coding RNA from Arabidopsis lyrata subsp. lyrata, 1039 nucleotides. RefSeq lists it as uncharacterized. The record is from RefSeq and is a predicted model, not a curated record. The transcript is spliced from 2 exons. NCBI's taxonomy places the organism in Eukaryota, Viridiplantae, Streptophyta, Magnoliopsida, Brassicales, Brassicaceae.
AUCAUCAAACUUUACCGGAAGGAUCGAAGACUGAAGGAAGUUUACCGUAGAUGUUCAAGAUCAGAGUAGUAGUGAAUUGAGAAUUUAUCGGUUAACGCUAAGUAUGAAGAAGACUAGAAUCGGCUACAGCAUUGGGCAGUUAAGGCUAUCGUCGAAAAUCAUACUUUCACCAAGGAGAUUUAUUUACGGGAAAUUGGUUGAUGGAAAGAUCAAUUUUUCCGAGGAAAAUGAAAGAGUGAUGUUACGUGGAGAAAGUUUUUAUCGGAGGAAAUCAAUUUUAGCGAAGAAAGAGUAAUUUUGGGCCGAUACAAGCAAGCGGUGAUCGAACGGAAUCGGAUACGGAGACAAAAAGAUUUAGUGGAGUAAUUAAAUGACUUAGUCAUUUAUUUUUAGAUUUGUCGAAGUGGAAUAGGUAAUGAUCAUUGUGAGCGAACGGUGGUCGGAGAGCUCUCGGUACGAGCGUGUACCGUGAGCGAAUGGAACGAGUGGUCGUGGAGGCCAUGUCGUAGACGUGCUUGUGGCAUAAGCAGCUGUGCCACGAGCUGGAGUGUGUUUUGCGUGAAGCACCACACGCUCGGAUAAGGAUAAACAUGGAUAAAGAUAAGGAUAAGCCUUAUCUUUUCCUUAGCUUGCACGCCAAGCAACCGUAGCUUGUACUCCAAGUUACUAUAGCUUGCUCCCCAAGUUUCCCUACCCUAUAUAAACCCACGAGAUCCCAUUCAUUAUUUCUCACACCAAAAAUCCACCUUAAACCGUUAGUUAGUUCGAGAAGCUUGUCGGAGUCCGAGUCGGGUAGAAGUUUGUCGAGUCGAGAGAUGUAGUCGGGUAAUCCGAUCCAUCGUUAGUACGCGUUGGAGAUAGCUCGGUCGGAUCAAAAUUAUUAGGCGGUCAAGGGUAGAGUUUUAUUCUCUCGACAAUAAGGCCAAGGUGAGUUCCGUAGCGAGUGUAGUAGCACACGACUAGGUUUUAUUUUUGGGUUUAUGAUGGUUAGGCAUGAGGUUGCAUUUUUAUACUUAGUAUAAAUUAUGCAUAAAUUAUG